Gasterosteus aculeatus aculeatus (three-spined stickleback) is the source of this 1559-nucleotide long non-coding RNA. The record is from Ensembl. Lineage: Eukaryota; Metazoa; Chordata; Actinopteri; Perciformes; Gasterosteidae.
GUGCUUCCUUGGGCUGAACCCAGAAAGAGGGACAAAGGACAACCAGGGGACGGUGGUGUCUACAAGGACAGGGAAACUGGUCCAGAAGGAGGCAACUGUCAAUCCCCAUGUGGCCACCCUGAUAAAAAACCUCUUGGACUUUGAGUGGGGCUUCAUGUGGCAUAUUUCCACACAGGACACUGGACAUUGGAAAAAAGAACACCAAGAUGGAGUGUGUUACCUCUCCUUCCUCCCUAGGACGGCGAGACUGUGGCACAGAGAAGACUGACAACAGGUGAAACAGGUAUUCCAGAGGGACACUUUAACAAGGGCUGGAAGAGGCCCAGGCCUCCGCAUGUCAGACUCUGAACAAAUGCCAGCCCCUCUGCCCCCCUUCUCUCUCUCUCUCCCUCCCAGUGCCUGACCCUCUCGGUGCUAUCGCUCCCUCGGUUCCAUCCGAGUCGACACUGCGUGCCGGCAGGAAACCCAGCCAAGUAGGCUUCCUGAGCGAGCGGGAGAGGAAGUACAGUAAUAAGGGAUAAAGGAAGGGGGUGUGGGGUUUAAAAAUAACCCGCCUAUAUAAGCUGAGGCAGGAGCCCACUCUGACUCUCUCUCUGCUGCGGACAGAGGCCUCCGCGUUCUCUCUCGCACUCGAAAAGAUCAUCACAGCUUUCCUGCCGUGCGGAGGAAAGUGGAGAAGCCAAAGCAGGUGUUACCAAGAAGUUUAACAAAGACAUAAACUAUGUGCGCCGAGGAGAGACGCUUUAUCCGCAGAACAGGCUGCAACAACUUUGAGUAAGGGGAAAAACUCCUCCGUCCUCGGUAUCACUGCCUUCAGCAUGUUUCCAACCCCUCCACGGGACCGGCUUCGCUCUCCACAUGAAGAACAUCUGUGAAUAUGACAACGCGCCGUUGGCUCUUGGUGACUAGCGGACCAUCUUGCUGAAACAGCUGAUCGAUGCAGACACACGCGGCAUCCUCUCCGUGUUAACAACAUCUGCUCUAUCAGACCCGAGAAACCCUAGAAAAUUAUAUGGAGAGCAAAAAAACCUGACUUUCAACACGUUGUCAAAAAGCUGUGGUAAUUUCACUUGUUCCUGGAAAGCAUCCUAAUGUGAGACUCGACGGAGACGGAAGGCCCCGAGCCAUCUGGCGAACCCAGUUUUCAGAUCUCUGUAUUUUAAAAAUAUUCAUGAGAACUAGAACAACGCAACACACGCUUACAUCUGCUUAAUGUGUCCUGCCACCACACAGUGUGUGUCACAGCAUUUACCCGUCCCUUCGCUGCAGGGUACAGCAUGUCCCGUAACACCUGUUGAAAUUACAUAGCUAUUAGCACAAACCAUUUAGCAUGUUGGCAGAAUAUAUGUAGGCUAGCAAGAUUGACAUCAUGGAGUAUGUACUGUACUUGCUUACCGGUACUAUAUUAUAAUGGCUCUGGACUGGAUUAGAGAUGAAAUAAAAAAGGCCCUCAGCUUGUGAACCUCUCAUGUGUAAAGUUCCAAAUCACAUACAUUUGAGAAAUUCAACAGCAAUGUCUCUUAUCAGAAAGUGUGACCUGGGUACUCGGGAUAAUAAAC